GACGAACGCUGGCGGCGUGCUUAACACAUGCAAGUCGAACGGACAGGCCCUGCUCUUGUGGGGUGCUCGAGUGGCGAACGCGUGAGUAUAACGUGAGUAACCUGUACUUGUCUUUGGGAUAACUUCUGGAAACUCGGGCGAAUAUCGCAUAGGAGCUCCUGCAGCAUGGUGGGGGUUGGUAAGUUUCGGCGGUUGGGGAUGGACUAGCUGCUUACCCGCUUGAUGGUGGGGUAGUGGCUGACCAAGGUUUUGACGGCUAGGCGGCCUGAGAGGGUGACCGGCCACAUUGGGACUGAGGGACGGCCCAGACUCCUACGGGAGGCAGCAGUGGGGAAUAUUGCGCAGUGGGCGGAAGCCUGAUGCAGCAACGCCGCGAGCGUGAUGACGGCCUACGGGUUGUAAACCGCUUUCGCCGGUGACGAAGCGUGAGUGACGGUAAUGGGUAAGGAAGCACCGGCUAACUACGUG
This 468-nucleotide ribosomal RNA is filed under the name uncultured bacterium. Its description in RNAcentral is "partial 16S ribosomal RNA". It matches the Rfam family "Bacterial small subunit ribosomal RNA", at positions 28 to 507 of the family's 1533-position model. The record is from RNAcentral.